UACGUAGGGGGCAAGCGUUGUCCGGAUUUAUUGGGCGUAAAGAGCGUGUAGGCGGCCAUGUAGGUCCGUUGUGAAAACUCGAGGCUCAACCUCGAGACGCCGAUGGAAACCAUGUGGCUAGAGUCCGGAAGAGGAGAGUGGAAUUCCUGGUGUAGCGGUGAAAUGCGCAGAUAUCGGGAGGAACACCGAUGGCGAAGGCGGUUCUCUGGGCCGUACCUGACGCUGAGGAGCGAAAGCGUGGGGAGCGAACAGG
This 253-nucleotide ribosomal RNA is filed under the name uncultured bacterium. Its description in RNAcentral is "partial 16S ribosomal RNA". It matches the Rfam family "Bacterial small subunit ribosomal RNA", at positions 524 to 776 of the family's 1533-position model. The record is from RNAcentral.